RNAcentral lists this ribosomal RNA (483 nucleotides) under uncultured bacterium. RNAcentral's name for it is "partial 16S ribosomal RNA". It matches the Rfam family "Bacterial small subunit ribosomal RNA", at positions 30 to 507 of the family's 1533-position model. The record is from RNAcentral.
AUUGAACGCUGGCGGCAGGCCUAACACAUGCAAGUCGAGCGGAUGAAGGGAGCUUGCUCCUGGAUUCAGCGGCGGACGGGUGAGUAAUGCCUAGGAAUCUGCCUGGUAGUGGGGGAUAACGUCCGGAAACGGGCGCUAAUACCGCAUACGUCCUGAGGGAGAAAGUGGGGGAUCUUCGGACCUCACGCUAUCAGAUGAGCCUACGUCGGAUUAGCUAGUUGGUGGGGUAAAGGCCUACCAAGGCGACGAUCCGUAACUGGUCUGAGAGGAUGAUCAGUCACACUGGAAGUGAGACACGGUCCAGACUCCUACGGGAGGCAGAAGUGGGAAUAUUGGACAAUGGGCGAAAGCCUGAUCCAGCCAUGCCGCGUGUGUGAAGAAGGUCUUCGGAUUGUAAAGCACUUUAAGUUGGGAGGAAGGGCAGUAAGUUAAUACCUUGCUGUUUUGACGUUACCAACAGAAUAAGCACCGGCUAACUUCGUG